UACGAAGGGGGCUGGCGUUGCUCGGAAUCACUGGGCGUAAAGGGUGCGUAGGCGGGUCUUUAAGUCAGGGGUGAAAUCCUGGAGCUCAACUCCAGAACUGCCUUUGAUACUGAGGAUCUUGAGUUCGGGAGAGGUGAGUGGAACUGCGAGUGUAGAGGUGAAAUUCGUAGAUAUUCGCAAGGACACCAGUGGCGAAGGCGGCUCACUGGCCCGAUACUGACGCUGAGGCACGAAAGCGUGGGGAGCAAACAGG
Molecule: ribosomal RNA, 253 nt
Filed under: uncultured bacterium
Lineage: Bacteria
Description: partial 16S ribosomal RNA
Rfam family: Bacterial small subunit ribosomal RNA
Source: RNAcentral